This is a non-coding RNA of Labrus bergylta (ballan wrasse), 230 nucleotides long. The record is from RefSeq and is a predicted model, not a curated record. NCBI's taxonomy places the organism in Eukaryota, Metazoa, Chordata, Actinopteri, Labriformes, Labridae.
GUCAGGAUACUCAUCUGUCAGUCUCUUUCUCAGUGAUGACGACCAAUCAUCAAGUUCAUCUGAUCCAUCCCUCCACAGUGAUUGGUCAAAUGGAAAAAUGAUUGCUUUAAAGAAACUAGAAAAAAGUGACCCAAACAAGUAUCAAACAUGGCGACUUCUGCAGAAACAGAAGAAACUCAUUCAAAUGCAACAAAAAUGUUUUUUGGCCGACCUCCCACCUGAUUAGUGAG